UACAGAGGUCUCAAGCGUUGUUCGGAUUCAUUGGGCGUAAAGGGUGCGUAGGCGGCUCGGUAAGUCGGGUGUGAAAUCUCGGAGCUUAACUCCGAAACUGCAUUCGAUACUGCCGUGCUUGAGGACUGGAGAGGAGACUGGAAUUUACGGUGUAGCGGUGAAAUGCGUAGAUAUCGUAAGGAAGACCAGUGGCGAAGGCGGGUCUCUGGACAGUUCCUGACGCUGAGGCACGAAGGCCAGGGGAGCAAACGGG
This 253-nucleotide ribosomal RNA is filed under the name uncultured bacterium. RNAcentral describes it as "partial 16S ribosomal RNA". It matches the Rfam family "Bacterial small subunit ribosomal RNA", at positions 524 to 776 of the family's 1533-position model. The record is from RNAcentral.